GAUGAACGCUGGCGGCAUGCCUAACACAUGCAAGUCGAACGAGACCUUCGGGUCUAGUGGCGCACGGGUGCGUAACACGUGGGAAUUUGCCUCGGGGUAUGGAAUAACUCAGGGAAACUUGAGCUAAUACCAUAUAAUGUCUUCGGACCAAAGAUUUAUCGCCCUGAGAUAAGCCCGCGUAGGAUUAGCUAGUUGGUGGGGUAAAGGCUCACCAAGGCGACGAUCCUUAGCUGGUCUGAGAGGAUGAUCAGCCACACUGGGACUGAGACACGGCCCAGACUCCUACGGGAGGCAGCAGUGGGAAUAUUGGACAAUGGGCGAAAGCCUGAUCCAGCCAUGCCGCGUGUGUGAAGAAGGUCUUCGGAUUGUAAAGCACUUUAAGUUGGGAGGAAGGGCAGUUACCUAAUACGUGAUUGUUUGACGUUACCGACAGAAUAAGCACCGGCUAACUCUGUGCCAGCAGCCGCGGUAAUGUGACUACUG
This 483-nucleotide ribosomal RNA is filed under the name uncultured bacterium. RNAcentral's name for it is "bacterial SSU rRNA". It matches the Rfam family "Bacterial small subunit ribosomal RNA", at positions 28 to 534 of the family's 1533-position model. The record is from RNAcentral.